RNA transcript from Pygocentrus nattereri (red-bellied piranha), 1255 nucleotides. It is a transcript of the gene named nuclear factor 7, ovary-like, with no coding region annotated. Lineage: Eukaryota; Metazoa; Chordata; Actinopteri; Characiformes; Serrasalmidae. The record is from RefSeq and is a predicted model, not a curated record. The transcript is spliced from 4 exons.
AGUGUGAAAAUCCUUCCGUAACAGAAUUAUGUUGAGGUAAUUUACACAAAAUGCCCACAGGUCUUUACAUUUUAGUGGGAAUAGUUUUUUACUUAAGAGUGAUUACUCCUGACUACCAACCUCCCAAAACAUAGCUUUCUCAUUGCCGUUAUCACGCCUGUGUUUGUGUGUGUGUUAGGAAGGGUUUGUUAAAUGAACAUUUCAAAGGUUUAUACUUCCCUAUAUAUUGUGGAUUGUAUUAAUAUUAAUUCAAGGGUAAAGGAUAAACGUUAAUCUUAUUCAAGGAUGAAGACGGUUUCAUCAUACAUGAUGCAUCAUGGUUUUUUGCCUGCAGAUGAGGCCCCAUAUUUUUUUUGCCCCUGCCCUUCAAACAGCCCUGGUUUGCCACUGAUCCUGAAUGAUGCAUAAAACUUCUUAAAUGACAGUCUUUCAUUCACAGGACACGGAUGGAGAGACCAGACUCGCCUUUACCCAGCCAGGUAUCUAUGAACAGAGACAGUUCAAAGAUACAACCACUUCGCCUCAGUCAAACAGGAGGUAUGGUCAACAACACUGCUUACUCUACAAAUCACUCAGACGGAGGGACCAGACUCACCUUCACUCAGCCAUGCAUCUAUGAGGAGUGACAGCUCAAUGAUACAACCUCUUCGUUUCAGUCAGACAGACAAAAGGACUCAGAUGGACAGACCAGACUUACCUUCACCCAGCCAAGUAUCUAUGAAGAGCAACAGCUCAAUGAUUCAGCCACUCCAAAUCAGUGAAACAGGCACAAGCUUGCUGUCUCCAGAUAUUUUUAGAUGUUCAGUGUGCUCUGAAGUACUGCGGGACCCUGUCUCUAAUACCUGUGGGCACAAUUACUGCAAGGACUGCAUCACAGAAUACUGGGCUCAGUCUGAACAUGGGGGUGAAAGAUGCCCAAAGUGUAGAAAGACAUCAAUAUUACAGCAUGUGGCUCACACAAACAAGGCCCUUGCUGAAGUGAUAGCAGAGAUUAGGUUUACAGAAACUGCAGCAUGAGAAGCCAGAGACAUAAAUAAGGGAGUAUGUCAGUACCAUGGAAGAGUUCUGGAUAUGUUCUGUAGGACUCAUCAGAUUCGUAUCUGCAAGAGCUGUGCUAUACAGGAGCACAGAGACCAUAAAAAGCACUACACAAAGGUAAGUACAGCGGAGGAUGCUUGAUUGAAGACAUGUACACGUUUAAGUACACGUCACGUCAUGAAUCUGUUUUUCUUGGGUUGUUUCUCAAGAACAAAUU